AUACGUAGGUGGCAAGCGUUGUCCGGAAUUAUUGGGCGUAAAGGAUGCGUAGGCGGCCUUUUAAGUGGGAUGUGAAAUACCCGGGCUUAACCCGGGAAUGGCAUUCCAAACUGGAAGGCUAGAGUGCAGGAGAGGAAAGUGGAAUUCCCAGUGUAGCGGUGAAAUGCGUAGAGAUUGGGAGGAACACCAGUGGCGAAGGCGACUUUCUGGACUGUAACUGACGCUGAGGCAUGAAAGCGUGGGGAGCAAACAGGAUUAGAUACCCUGGUAGUCCACGCCGUAAACGAUGAGUACUAGGUGUAGGGGAGCCAUUCUCUGUGCCGCAGUUAACACAUUAAGUACUCCGCCUGGGAAGUACGGUCGCAAGACUAAAACUCAAAUGAAUUGACGGGG
RNAcentral lists this ribosomal RNA (393 nucleotides) under uncultured bacterium. RNAcentral's name for it is "partial 16S ribosomal RNA". It matches the Rfam family "Bacterial small subunit ribosomal RNA", at positions 523 to 918 of the family's 1533-position model. The record is from RNAcentral.